AACGCACAUUGCGCCCGCUAGUAUUCUGGCGGGCAUGCCUGUUCGAGCGUCAUUACAGCCCUCAAGCACUGCUUGGCUUUGGGAUAUUGCUCUCUUGUAGCAAGUCCUCAAUAUCAUUGGCGAGAUUCCUCAGACUCGAGCACAGUAAAAAUGCUUGCUUGGAGAAUGAGAUAGUCUCUGCCAUCAAUUUGCUGCAAAGCACAAUCUUUGACCUCGGAUCAGGUAGGAAUACCCGCUGAACUUAA
Molecule: unclassified non-coding RNA, 245 nt
Filed under: uncultured Ascomycota
Lineage: Eukaryota; Fungi; Ascomycota
Description: sequence contains 5.8S rRNA gene, ITS2, 28S rRNA gene
Source: RNAcentral